This 253-nucleotide ribosomal RNA is filed under the name uncultured Clostridiales Family III bacterium. Its description in RNAcentral is "partial 16S ribosomal RNA". It matches the Rfam family "Bacterial small subunit ribosomal RNA", at positions 524 to 776 of the family's 1533-position model. The record is from RNAcentral. Lineage: Bacteria; Bacillati; Bacillota; Clostridia; Eubacteriales; Eubacteriales Family III. Incertae Sedis.
UACGUAGGUGGCAAGCGUUGUCCGGAAUUACUGGGUGUAAAGGGCGUGUAGGCGGGAAUGCAAGUCAGAUGUGAAAUUCCGGGGCUUAACUUCGGAGCUGCAUCUGAAACUGUAUUUCUUGAGUGCUGGAGAGGAUAGUGGAAUUCCUAGUGUAGCGGUGAAAUGCGUAGAGAUUAGGAGGAACACCAGUGGCGAAGGCGGCUAUCUGGACAGUAACUGACGCUGAGGCGCGAAAGCGUGGGGAGCAAACAGG